AUGUAUCCCGUUGCUUGGGCAGUAGUGGAGAAAGAGACAACUGAGAGCUGAAAGUGGUUCAUUGGCCUUCUAAUAAAAGACCUGGAUAUCAAUGAGCAAGGGGGAUGGGUUUUCAUUUCUGACCAACAAAAGGUAUGCUUUUGUCUUAUAUAA
RNAcentral lists this ribosomal RNA (153 nucleotides) under Triticum aestivum (bread wheat). RNAcentral's name for it is "partial small subunit ribosomal RNA". Lineage: Eukaryota; Viridiplantae; Streptophyta; Magnoliopsida; Poales; Poaceae. The record is from RNAcentral.